Molecule: ribosomal RNA, 254 nt
Filed under: uncultured bacterium
Lineage: Bacteria
Description: partial 16S ribosomal RNA
Rfam family: Bacterial small subunit ribosomal RNA
Source: RNAcentral
UACGUAGGCAGCGAGCGUUGUUCGGAGUUACUGGGCGUAAAGAGUGCGUAGGCGGUUUUCUAAGUUUGGUGUGAAAUCUCCCGGCUCAACUGGGAGGGUGCGCCGAAGACUGGAAGGCUCAGAGUGUGGGAGAGGUAAGCGGAAUUCCUGGUGUAGCGGUGAAAUGCGUAGAUAUCAGGAGGAACACCUGCGGUGUAGACGGCUUACUGGACCAUAACUGACGCUUAGGCACGAAAGCGUGGGUAGCAAACAGG